RNAcentral lists this ribosomal RNA (253 nucleotides) under uncultured bacterium. RNAcentral's name for it is "partial 16S ribosomal RNA". It matches the Rfam family "Bacterial small subunit ribosomal RNA", at positions 524 to 776 of the family's 1533-position model. The record is from RNAcentral.
UACGGAGGGUGCAAGCGUUAUCCGGAUUCACUGGGUUUAAAGGGUGCGUAGGUGGGCAAGUAAGUCAGUGGUGAAAUCUCCGGGCUUAACCCGGAAACUGCCAUUGAUACUAUUUAUCUUGAAUACUUUGGAGGUAAGCGGAAUAUGUCAUGUAGCGGUGAAAUGCUUAGAUGUGACAUAGAACACCAAUUGCGAAGGCAGCUGGCUACACGGAUAUUGACACUGAGGCACGAAAGCGUGGGGAUCAAACAGG